UACCAUGCAAAAUACUCCCGAAGAAAGGGCUGUUGGGAUUGUUUUGAGAAAUCAUAGGCUAAUGCAAAGAGAGGCAACCACCCUUUCACCAAAAAUCCCUAUAUGCUAUGUAGCCUCAUUCUCUCCCUUCUGAGCAUUUGCUUUGUUCCACGUAAGCAGAAAAUUGCAGGUUCGACAUAUCCAAACAUUAAAUCAGGGAAAAGAUUCUCAUUAGAAAAUUGCAGGUUCGACAAAUCCAAACAUUAAAUCAGGGAAAAGAUUCUCAUCUCUCUUUUUUUUCAAGUAAAAAGGGCUCAGAUGUGAAUUAUGAUAAGGCAACGUCAUGGCUGCAAAACACCG
RNAcentral lists this long non-coding RNA (339 nucleotides) under Nicotiana benthamiana. RNAcentral describes it as "long non-coding RNA (NBEN_LNC018021)". The record is from RNAcentral. Lineage: Eukaryota; Viridiplantae; Streptophyta; Magnoliopsida; Solanales; Solanaceae.